UCAGAACCAACAUCAGAAUAUUCCUGUCUGCCAUCUGGAAUCUUCUUCACUAACAGGAGUUCGCACAUAUUUGUUUUUGUCUCAAAGUCUUGAAAUGCUGCCCGGCCCAGUCUCCAUCUCUCGUCACAUGCUGUGAUGGAAAGCCAGUAAGCCAGAUGCUUUACGUGGGAUCUGAAGAGAAAGAGCGAUUCUCGACAAUUCAGUGUCAUUUCAGAUGCGCUGAAAUCCUCCUACCCCUCAUUCACCGUGUCCACUGACCACGUUGAGACCAGUGAAGUCAUUAUCAU
Long non-coding RNA from Solea solea (common sole), 287 nucleotides. RefSeq lists it as uncharacterized. The record is from RefSeq and is a predicted model, not a curated record. Lineage: Eukaryota; Metazoa; Chordata; Actinopteri; Pleuronectiformes; Soleidae. The transcript is spliced from 3 exons.